AUACAGAGGGUGCGAGCGUUAAUCGGAAUUACUGGGCGUAAAGCGCGCGUAGGCGGUUACAUAAGUCGGGUGUGAAAUCCCUGGGCUCAACCUGGGAAUUGCAUUCGAUACUGCAUGGCUAGAGUAUGGUAGAGGGAAGUGGAAUUUCCGGUGUAGCGGUGAAAUGCGUAGAUAUCGGAAGGAACACCAGUGGCGAAGGCGACUUCCUGAGCCAAUACUGACGCUGAGGUGCGAAAGCGUGGGGAGCAAACAGGAUUAGAUACCCCGGUAGUCC
Molecule: ribosomal RNA, 274 nt
Filed under: uncultured bacterium
Lineage: Bacteria
Description: partial 16S ribosomal RNA
Rfam family: Bacterial small subunit ribosomal RNA
Source: RNAcentral